RNAcentral lists this ribosomal RNA (464 nucleotides) under uncultured bacterium. RNAcentral's name for it is "bacterial SSU rRNA". It matches the Rfam family "Bacterial small subunit ribosomal RNA", at positions 439 to 918 of the family's 1533-position model. The record is from RNAcentral.
UGAGAGAUGAGAAAGGACAGUAUCUCAGGAAUAAGUCUCGGCUAACUACGUGCCAGCAGCCGCGGUAAACGUAGGAGGCGAGCGUUAUCCGGAUUCACUGGGCGUAAAGCGCGUGCAGGCGGUUCGGUAAGUUGGGCGUGAAAUCUCCUGGCUUAACUAGGAGAGGUCGUUCAAUACUACCGGGCUUGAGAGUGGUAGAGGAAGAUGGAAUUCCAGGUGUAGUGGUGAAAUGCGUAGAUAUCUGGAGGAACACCAGUGGCGAAAGCGAUCUUCUGGACCAUUUCUGACGCUCAGACGCGAAAGCUAGGGUAGUAAACGGGAUUAAGAGACCCCGGUAAUCCUAGCCGUAAACGAUGUAAACUUGGCGUCGGUGGCUUAAACUCCAUCGGUGCCGUAGCUAACGCGAUAAGUUUACCGCCUGGGGACUACGAUCGCAAGAUUAAAACUCAAAGGAAUUGACGGAG